UUUGAGAAGCUGCACUACAGUGUGGCUACCAAUGAACCCAGCCCCACCAGUCACAAGAAUUGUUUGCUCAGCCAUUAUUAAAGAAGCCAAAAAUGUUCAAAGAAAUAGAUCAAAGACAACAGAAAAGAGAAAGAAUGAAGAAAGAAAGCAGUGAACAUAUAGUUGGGAAGAAAAGGGUGGGUGUCUAUUUAAGAAAAAGAACAAAUUUUUAGUUUAAGCAAAUCAAGGAGGCUGUUAAAUUGGGAUAAGAAAUUUUCGAAAUUUGUUUUAGCAGAUUACAGGUUGUUUUUUGGGCGUUUAAAAUCCUAUCCUCUAUCCUAACCAAAAUUAGAAAAAAUGAUGUCCCAUCUUUUGAAAGCACAGCUUAACAAUUCAUUUUUACUUAUAAUUGCAAAUUUUAAUUGCUCUAUUUCCUUCAAAAUUCUACCUAUCUGAAUUAAAAAUUAUAUAUUUCUACUCUUAAAUUGAAACUUUUACCGACUUAUCUGGCUAUGUCACCUCCGCUGUCUUCAUCUUCACCCUCAGCUCUCAUGUCUUUAAGCCCUAAGUUUUAAGGGUUUCAAUUUCCAAAUUCCAUGAGUAGACUUUGUCGUCCACGCACCUUGUACGCGAUUGGAUUCACAUUAAAGAAAACUGUAAAAAGCGCGCGAAGAAAGCUACCUGCAAUCUACUAAAACAAACAAGCUAGCGUGCCCGGCUAAAGCUGAACAAUCAGUUCUCGUCACAUUAAAGAAAACUGUAAAAAGCGCGCGAAGAAAGCUACCUGCAAUCUACUAAAACAAACAAGCUAGCGUGCCCGGCUAAAGCU
This 808-nucleotide unclassified non-coding RNA is filed under the name Hevea brasiliensis (rubber tree). The record is from RNAcentral. Lineage: Eukaryota; Viridiplantae; Streptophyta; Magnoliopsida; Malpighiales; Euphorbiaceae.